Molecule: ribosomal RNA, 460 nt
Filed under: uncultured bacterium
Lineage: Bacteria
Description: partial 16S ribosomal RNA
Rfam family: Bacterial small subunit ribosomal RNA
Source: RNAcentral
CCUACGGGUGGCAGCAGUGAGGAAUAUUGGUCAAUGGACGAGAGUCUGAACCAGCCAAGUAGCGUGAAGGAUGACUGCUCUAUGGGUUGUAAACUUCUUUUAUAUGGGAAUAAAACGUUCCACGUGUGGGAUUUUGUAUGUACCAUAUGAAUAAGGAUCGGCUAACUCCGUGCCAGCAGCCGCGGUAAUACGGAGGAUCCGAGCGUUAUCCGGAUUUAUUGGGUUUAAAGGGAGCGUAGGUGGAUUGUUAAGUCAGUUGUGAAAGUUUGCGGCUCAACCGUGAAAUUGCAGUUGAAACUGGCAGUCUUGAGUACAGUAGAGGUAGGCGGAAUUCGUGGUGUAGCGGUGAAAUGCUUAGAUAUCACGAAGAACUCCGAUUGCGAAGGCAGUUCACUGGACUGCAACUGACACUGAGGCUCGAAAGUGUGGGUAUCAAACAGGAUUAGAUACCCUAGUAGUC